RNAcentral lists this small RNA (27 nucleotides) under Bombyx mori (domestic silkworm). RNAcentral describes it as "ovarian small RNA-22128". The record is from RNAcentral. Lineage: Eukaryota; Metazoa; Arthropoda; Insecta; Lepidoptera; Bombycidae.
UAGAUGAAGCAAACCACCUACUCUCUA